CAGGCUAUUGAGGUGUCAAGCAAUGAGUAUGAACCUUCAAAGAAAGAUGUGAUCUUUGCUGAAGGAGUGACACGGGGGAAUGGGUUGUCUUUCAUCGAGUUCACCCUUGAUGGUCGCAGCCCCAUGUCUGAACCUUACAUCGACAACCCAGAGGUGCAUUCUCAGCCUCUCACCAAGUAA
RNAcentral lists this ribosomal RNA (180 nucleotides) under Triticum aestivum (bread wheat). RNAcentral describes it as "partial small subunit ribosomal RNA". The record is from RNAcentral. Lineage: Eukaryota; Viridiplantae; Streptophyta; Magnoliopsida; Poales; Poaceae.